This 468-nucleotide ribosomal RNA is filed under the name uncultured bacterium. RNAcentral describes it as "partial 16S ribosomal RNA". It matches the Rfam family "Bacterial small subunit ribosomal RNA", at positions 28 to 507 of the family's 1533-position model. The record is from RNAcentral.
GACGAACGCUGGCGGCGUGCUUAACACAUGCAAGUCGAACGGAAAGGCCCUGCUUUUGUGGGGUGCUCGAGUGGCGAACGGGUGAGUAACACGUGAGUAACCUGCCCUUGACUUUGGGAUAACUUCAGGAAACUGGGGCUAAUACCGGAUAGGAGCUCCUGCUGCAUGGUGGGUGUUGGAAAGUUUCGGCGGUUGGGGAUGGACUCGCGGCUUAUCAGCUUGUUGGUGGGGUAGUGGCUUACCAAGGCUUUGACGGGUAGCCGGCCUGAGAGGGUGACCGGCAACAUUGGGACUGAGAUACGGCCCAGACUCCUACGGGAGGCAGCAGUGGGGAAUAUUGCACAAUGGGCGGGAGCCUGAUGCAGCAACGCCGCGUGCGGGAUGACGGCCUUCGGGUUGUAAACCGCUUUCGCCUGUGACGAAGCGUGAGUGACGGUAAUGGGUAAAGAAGCACCGGCUAACUACGUG